Molecule: long non-coding RNA, 2336 nt
Organism: Pipistrellus kuhlii (Kuhl's pipistrelle)
Lineage: Eukaryota; Metazoa; Chordata; Mammalia; Chiroptera; Vespertilionidae
Exons: 2
Source: RefSeq, a predicted model, not a curated record
UAAAAGAGGCAUUAUUAUCAUAUUACAGAGGAGAAUGACUCUUAGGUAAGGAUUCAAUUGUGUGACGGAGCAAGUAAUGGAGGAAGAAGGAAUUUGAAGGAAGAGCUGGCUACUCAAAGCCAUGGGCAUUGGGUCCCUCCUGCACUCAACACUCUGCUUUAAAGUAAAAGUUAAGCUCAACUGUGAAUGCUUGGCUACCAUGGUUGCAGGCAGGUGGCAAGAAUUCAUCUCUGAUAAGGACAUAGUCUUUGGAAGGAGAAAUAGACCAUAAACAAUGAAACAUACUGCCUUGGGAUGUCCAAAGUUUUAUCCCUACUACCUUUCUCCUCUUAAAAAAUAAAUGAAUCACACUCCUGAAUGUUGUUUGUUUGUUUAACAAAUCCCUGUUUCAGUGUCUUUGAUUGAUGGAUAUGUUUAUUACCAAGAGUUCUCCAGAGAAACAGAACCAGUAGUACAUCUAUCUAUCAUCUAUCUAUCUAUCAUCUAUCUAUCUAUCUAUCUAUCUAUCUAUCUAUCUAUCUAUCUAAUCUUCCUUGCUAUAAGGAAUUGGCUCAUGUGAUUAUGGAAGCUGAGAAGUCCCAUGAUCCAUCAUCUGCAGGUUGGAGACGCAGGAGAGUGGGUGGUGAAUGUACAGUCUGAGGGGAGAAGACCAAUGUCCCAGCUUGGACACAGUUCGGCAGAAGAGAGUAAAUUCUCCCUUCCACCUUUUUGUUCUAUCCAGGCCCCGAUGGAUUGGAUGAGGGCCACCCACAUGGGGGAGGGCAAUCUGCUUUCCUAGGUCUACUCAUGUUAAUCUCAUCCACAGAUGCCCUCACAGACACGCCAGAAUCGUUUAAUCAAAUAUCUAGUCACCCAAUGGCCUGGUCAAUUGACACAAAAUUAUCUAUCACAAGUCUUGUAUGGAUACAUGAAGAAAGUAUCCAGGUUACAAUUACAGUUCAGGCCUGGAACUGGAGGCAGACUGAGCUCAAAGUUGACAUUAGCAGGUGUUGACUCACUCAGUUUUUUAGGCCCGGAAAUGGCUUUAAAGGCAGGGCGUCCUACUGAACCUUGAGUUGAAGAGCUGGAAGUGCUUACGUGUUUUGCUCAGAUACACACAGCACUUCAUGGUGGUGGCCCAAGUGCCCUCAAGUGAAUGAGCAGUUAUGCAUUAUGCUAACAGUAAAUUAAUCUGUAUUGAUCUUCUCCGUGUGCUAAACACCUUCUCAGCUCAUUUCCUGAAUCCAUGCCUUUAAUAACAUGUGAGCCCCUAAUUUGACAGAUGAGGCCAACACGAAGGCAGGUCCACGCAGACAUCAAGAGGCAAAGCCAGGAAUAAAACGUGUGCGUGUUGGUCCAGGGUGUGUGCUCUUCACCACCACCUCUGAUUGAGAGCAGCGCCUGGGCCCAAGAGGGCUUGGUGUCAGGCAGGCCUUCCCCCAUGUCAUUGGAGAGGCCACUGUGGGCUGGGCCACUUUGGCUAGAGCUGGCCUCUGUAGCCUCUUAAAAUUGGACUCUUAACAGACCAGCCUGGUCUCUCAAAGGAAAAGGGUCACAUCCACUCUUGGACUUUCAUUCAAGGGGCUCCCGCAUGAGCCAGGUUAGCCUCGGGCUGGUGCUGUUCCAGAAAAAGCAACCGAUCCUUACGUUGGAAGCUCUCACCCCGCGAUGCUUGGGAAGUCAGUCAGGAAAACGGGGGUUUUAAUAUCAGGGAAAGACAGGUUACUGCUCUCCAGGGACAGCAAGGACGCUGACCUUUCUCUGCUUCCUUCCCCCACAGACUCACUGUGGAAGCCUUUCUAUUUUUGUUUUUCAGAAUGAAUCUGGGCACUUCCUUCCCUACUCCCAUAGAUGUUUGGCCCCAUCCAUGAUUCAUCAAUAGCAUUUUCCUUUCAUUGUUAAAGGCACACUGGGAUUUUUGUUUGUUUUUGACCAAGGGACUAACUUUAGUGAAAGAAGAAACUGGUUGUCAGAUUCGCUAGCUCUAAUGUGGACCCCAAUAGCCAGAGUGGCUGCUUUAUGAAAUAGAAUGGCCACAGCUCCUGAGCCAGCUGGCAGACAGCAGCUUGAGAGCUUGGAUUCCAUUUAUAUUUACAAUCAGCGAUUCUGUCAAUAUCCUUCUGCGAAAGAGAAACUUCGAUGUGACUGGGAAUUGAACCUGCAGUCUUUUGGAACGUGGAUAUGCUCCUGCCAGCUAAGCCACACGUCCCAGGCCCACAGCUUCCUUCUCUAAACAGAACACAAAGUCCUCACCCUGCCCACCUACUUACUUUCAUUACUUAACCGGACCCUGAAGGCAUGUUUGUCUCCCUUGGUGCUUAUCUGCAUGAUACGGAAUAAAUUAAUUUGGCAAUUAA